Non-coding RNA from Triticum urartu, 1245 nucleotides. NCBI's taxonomy places the organism in Eukaryota, Viridiplantae, Streptophyta, Magnoliopsida, Poales, Poaceae. The record is from RefSeq and is a predicted model, not a curated record.
GCCAACUUAUUUUACUACCUGGGGUGUUCUGGAGUUUUGUUUCUAAAACAGAUUGUGUUUUCUUUUGUUCUGGAGUGUUGGUACUGAUGCAUAAAACUACUGCAUCCAAAAUGGCAUGGUAUUAUUAUUUUUAUUUUUAAAAGAAUGCCACUUGCCUUAAGCUCUCAGUAAAUCAAAAUAUGUACUCAUGUUAUCAACACUUGAAUAUUAGUAUCGACACUUGAAUAUGCAUUAUGAUUUAGUGCACGUUCAACAAAUGGUCAAUGGAUCAGUAUUUUCUGGAAACUUUCUGUUCCAUAUGAAGUUUUGAUUUCAGCUUGAUAUAUUAAUAAUAUUAUUACCAUGUUUCUUGUAAAUAUCUAUUUGAGAACUUUGCAGCUAAAUUGGUGCAUGUAUAUUAUAGAAGUAAAACACUUGAAAAUAGAUUCAGCAUGGUUCCUGCACUCCCAACUUUUCAUUGUUGACUGCUCGUCAGAAAACAAUUAUUCAUCAGGGGCAGUCAUGGUUGUUCGCGACUCCGCAAGAAGAUGAUCAAGGGUCGGCGGCACGGCUGCUUCGUCGUCAUCUUAGACGAGCACCAUCCAACACGAUUUUCCGCUUCCAUGUUCCAUGGAAUGUCACUACUUUUAUCAUGGCAUCCAACACUUGCAGAUGUGACUCAGAAGGGGGUUCUGAAGUUGAUGAACUUGGAUGGCCUGACAGUCUACCAUACCAACAACCAUCUCCAAGGUAGUUGAUUCUUUACAAGUGUUUGGAGCAACCAAAAUUCAAGUGAGAACACAAUACUUCGUUGGUGUGUCCAUACAUAUGUCUAUAUAUAUACGCUGGAACCCUCAAGUGAGUACGAAUCAAAUGAACGAUGCCCCAAGGACUCAGGUGCAUUUCAAAAUGUUAUAUUCCUCCCACAUUCAGCCAACUGGAGUAUCCUGCUCUCCCUUCUAGAGGUUCUACAUCCUUAUUUUACGAACCAGGUGCUUGCAUUCUAUUGUACUCCCUCCAUCCGGAAAUACUUGUCAUCAAAAUGGGUGAAAAUGGAUAUAUCUAGAACUAAAAUAUAUCUAGAUACAUCCAUUUCAAUGACAAGUAUUUCCGGACAGAGGGAGUAUCAAGAUGUGUAAAUAAUUAGUAAGUUGUCUGCUGAUUACCAGGUUCAUUGACUUAUGAAGGAACUCUUACUCACGAAAGUGUACAUGCAAUAAGUUCUGUAGUUCUCAUAUUUUUUUUACCAAAAGACAAUUGACUUUA